RNAcentral lists this non-coding RNA (28 nucleotides) under Rattus norvegicus (Norway rat). Lineage: Eukaryota; Metazoa; Chordata; Mammalia; Rodentia; Muridae. The record is from RNAcentral.
UAAGUGUCUGUGUUAACGACCUUGUGCA